CCUACGGGAGGCAGCAGUAGGGGAUAUUGCUCAAUGGGGGAAACUCUGAAGCAGCAACGCCGCGUGGAGGAUGAAGGUUUUCGGAUUGUAAACUCCUUUUGUUAGAGAAGAUAAUGACGGUAUCUAACGAAUAAGCACCGGCUAACUCCGUGCCAGCAGCCGCGGUAAUACGGAGGGUGCAAGCGUUACUCGGAAUCACUGGGCGUAAAGAGCGCGUAGGCGGGAUAGCAAGUCAGAUGUUAAAUCCUAUGGCUUAACCAUAGAACUGCAUUUGAAACUGUUAUUCUAGAGUAUGGGAGAGGUAGGUGGAAUUCUUGGUGUAGGGGUAAAAUCCGUAGAGAUCAAGAGGAAUACUCAGUGCGAAGGCGACCUGCUAGAACAUAACUGACGCUGAUGCGCGAAAGCGUGGGGAGCAAACAGGAUUAGAUACCCCUGUAGUC
Molecule: ribosomal RNA, 440 nt
Filed under: uncultured bacterium
Lineage: Bacteria
Description: partial 16S ribosomal RNA
Rfam family: Bacterial small subunit ribosomal RNA
Source: RNAcentral